Molecule: non-coding RNA, 192 nt
Filed under: unclassified sequences
Description: RT-15 RNA
Rfam family: RT-15 RNA
About the family: Proteobacteria. Nearby to self-splicing intron genes
Source: Rfam by way of RNAcentral
CCGCGCUUGAUGAAUAUGCGUUAUGGCGCUUAUUCCUAUGCACAUCAUUUGGUCGAAGUAGCUGUGCGUUUUGCAGCUCCAAGCGCUAUCAAGAAACGGCGUGGUAUUCAACUACGUGCGUCAAUGCGCAGUUUGAUAAGCGUCGAUGCUACGGGCAAUCGCUUAUCCGAUGUUUACACCUUCGAACUGACC